GCGGUUUGUUAAGUCAGAUGUGAAAUCCCCGGGCUCAACCUGGGAACUGCAUCUGAUACUGGCAAGCUUGAGUCUCGUAGAGGGGGGUAGAAUUCCAGGUGUAGCGGUGAAAUGCGUAGAGAUCUGGAGGAAUACCGGUGGCGAAGGCGGCCCCCUGGACGAAGACUGACGCUCAGGUGCGAAAGCGUGGGAGCAAACAGGAUUAGAUACCCUGGUAGUCCACGCCGUAAACGAUGUCGACUUGGAGGUUGUGCCCUUGAGGCGUGGCUUCCGGAGCUAACGCGUUAAGUCGACCGCCU
RNAcentral lists this ribosomal RNA (299 nucleotides) under Escherichia coli. Its description in RNAcentral is "partial 16S ribosomal RNA". It matches the Rfam family "Bacterial small subunit ribosomal RNA", at positions 575 to 874 of the family's 1533-position model. The record is from RNAcentral. Lineage: Bacteria; Pseudomonadati; Pseudomonadota; Gammaproteobacteria; Enterobacterales; Enterobacteriaceae.